CUUUAACAAUCCGGAACAAGCUGAAAAUUGAAACGACGCAGCGCGCCAUUCCUCCGUAAUAUGGAAUGACAAGGCGAUGCGUUCGAGUCUCUCAAAUGCUUGCAAUUCGCAGCGUUGUAAAACGCCUGUGG
Non-coding RNA from Hordeum vulgare subsp. vulgare (domesticated barley), 131 nucleotides. Lineage: Eukaryota; Viridiplantae; Streptophyta; Magnoliopsida; Poales; Poaceae. The record is from Rfam.